This 375-nucleotide ribosomal RNA is filed under the name uncultured bacterium. RNAcentral's name for it is "bacterial SSU rRNA". It matches the Rfam family "Bacterial small subunit ribosomal RNA", at positions 521 to 896 of the family's 1533-position model. The record is from RNAcentral.
UAAGACGAACCGUGCGAACGUUGUUCGGAAUCACUGGGCUUAAAGGGCGCGUAGGCGGGUCAUCAAGUCCGGGGUGAAAUCCUUCGGCCUAACCGGAGAAGGGCUUCGGAUACUGGUGACCUCGAGGGGUGUAGGGGCAUGUGGAACUUCCGGUGGAGCGGUGAAAUGCGUAGAUAUCGGAAGGAACGCCGGUGGCGAAAGCGACGUGCUGGACACCUUCUGACGCUGAGGCGCGAAAGCCAGGGGAGCAAACGGGAUUAGAUACCCCGGUAGUCCUGGCCCUAAACGAUGGGUACUAGAUUGUGGACUGACAUGGGUUCACAGUCGGAGCAAAAGUGUUAAGUACCCCGCCUGGGGAGUAUGGUCGCAAGGCUG